This 1372-nucleotide ribosomal RNA is filed under the name uncultured bacterium. RNAcentral describes it as "bacterial SSU rRNA". It matches the Rfam family "Bacterial small subunit ribosomal RNA", at positions 28 to 1381 of the family's 1533-position model. The record is from RNAcentral.
GAUGAACGCUGGCGGCGUGCCUAAUACAUGCAAGUCGAGCGAACAGACGAGGAGCUUACUCCUCUGACGUUAGCGGCGGACGGGUGAGUAACACGUGGAUAACCUACCUAUAAGACUGGGAUAACUUCGGGAAACCGGAGCUAAUACCGGAUAACAUGUUGAACCGCAUGGUUCAACAGUGAAAGACGGUCUUGCUGUCACUUAUAGAUGGAUCCGCGUCGCAUUAGCUAGUUGGUAAGGUAACGGCUUACCAAGGCAACGAUGCGUAGCCGACCUGAGAGGGUGAUCGGCCACACUGGAACUGAGACACGGUCCAGACUCCUACGGGAGGCAGCAGUAGGGAAUCUUCCGCAAUGGGCGAAAGCCUGACGGAGCAACGCCGCGUGAGUGAAGAAGGUCUUCGGAUCGUAAAACUCUGUUAUUAGGGAAGAACAAAUGUGUAAGUAACUAUGCACGUCUUGACGGUACCUAAUCAGAAAGCCACGGCUAACUACGUGCCAGCAGCCGCGGUAAUACGUAGGUGGCAAGCGUUAUCCGGAAUUAUUGGGCGUAAAGCGCGCGUAGGCGGUUUUUUAAGUCUGAUGUGAAAGCCCACGGCUCAACCGUGGAGGGUCAUUGGAAACUGGAAAACUUGAGUGCAGAAGAGGAAAGUGGAAUUCCAUGUGUAGCGGUGAAAUGCGCAGAGAUAUGGAGGAACACCAGUGGCGAAGGCGACUUUCUGGUCUGUAACUGACGCUGAUGUGCGAAAGCGUGGGGAUCAAACAGGAUUAGAUACCCUGGUAGUCCACGCCGUAAACGAUGAGUGCUAAGUGUUAGGGGGUUUCCGCCCCUUAGUGCUGCAGCUAACGCAUUAAGCACUCCGCCUGGGGAGUACGACCGCAAGGUUGAAACUCAAAGGAAUUGACGGGGACCCGCACAAGCGGUGGAGCAUGUGGUUUAAUUCGGAGCAACGCGAAGAACCUUACCAAAUCUUGACAUCCUCUGACCCCUCUAGAGAUAGAGUUUUCCCCUUCGGGGGACAGAGUGACAGGUGGUGCAUGGUUGUCGUCAGCUCGUGUCGUGAGAUGUUGGGUUAAGUCCCGCAACGAGCGCAACCCUUAAGCUUAGUUGCCAUCAUUAAGUUGGGCACUCUAAGUUGACUGCCGGUGACAAACCGGAGGAAGGUGGGGAUGACGUCAAAUCAUCAUGCCCCUUAUGAUUUGGGCUACACACGUGCUACAAUGGACAAUACAAAGGGUAGCGAAACCGCGAGGUCAAGCAAAUCCCAUAAAGUUGUUCUCAGUUCGGAUUGUAGUCUGCAACUCGACUACAUGAAGCUGGAAUCGCUAGUAAUCGUAGAUCAGCAUGCUACGGUGAAUACGUUCCCGGGUCU